GCGUUUUCCUAGGCACCUGGCCAGCCGAGGCGGGGCGUCGGGGCUGGGGCCGGGAGCCUCGGAGGACGCAGGUCCGCCUCCCGCGAUGCCGAGGGUGCCCCCGGGGAGUCUGAGGAACCUGCAGCCCCGGCCUCGCCCCUGAGGCUGCAGAAGAUGUCAAUGUUACUUUUGAAGAUCAACAAAAGAUAAACAAAUUUGCACGGAAUACAAGUAGAAUCACAGAGCUGAAGGAAGAAAUAGAAGUAAAAAAGAAACAACUCCAAAACCUAGAAGAUGCUUGUGAUGACAUCAUGCUUGCAGAUGAUGACUGCUUAAUGAUACCUUAUCAAAUUGGUGAUGUCUUCAUUAGCCAUUCUCAAGAAGAAACGCAAGAAAUGUUAGAAGAAGCAAAGAAAAAUUUGCAAGAAGAAAUUGACGCCUUAGAAUCCAGAGUGGAAUCAAUUCAGCGGGUGUUAGCAGAUUUGAAAGUUCAGUUGUAUGCAAAAUUUGGGAGCAACAUAAACCUUGAAGCUGAUGAAAGUUAAACAUUUUAUAAUACUUUUUUUAUUUGUUUAAUAAACUUGAAUAUUGUUUAAAAUGAUAAUUUUCCUUCUUCAAAUGACAUGGAAAGCAAAACUUUCUUUUUUUAAAAUUUUCAUUUAUUUAAUGGAAACUUGCCU
RNAcentral lists this small RNA (659 nucleotides) under Pan troglodytes (chimpanzee). RNAcentral describes it as "processed transcript". The record is from RNAcentral. Lineage: Eukaryota; Metazoa; Chordata; Mammalia; Primates; Hominidae.